CUCUGCCUUCCAGCCAGAUGUUGUCAUUGCAGCAGGUAAUGCCCAGCCCCGGGCAUCCUGUGCAGGCGGUGUCCUUGCAGCUCUACCCAGCUCUUGGCUCUGGGAAAAGGGAACAAUGGACACUGUCGGGCAUGGAUGUGAUGGGGCUUCCAGAAGAGUUACUCUGGGCCUCCAGGGUGACAUCAAAGGACAGGGGUGCCUCUUAAGGUGACCUUCAAGCCACAGCCCUGUUGUUGGAGACAGGCAUACUACAGUUACAGUCGUCACCACAUGGCUCUGUCCCAGAGCCAUGCCCUGUGUCCUUCAGAGACCGCAGGAGGAAAACAACCACUUCUGGUACGAGGUCAGGGCCCUUGAGAGAAGGUGCUGUUUGGCUGGGCCACCGAAAACCCCUCACCCCUGUGAGCACACUCAGUCCCCUCUCUGGUGGAACAGAACUCUGCCUGUAGUCCUGGGUCCCAGCCCUGAAACCCACAGGUCCAGCGGUGGCCAGGGACACAGGCCCACCCCUGCAAGCCAGCAGACCAAUCGGCAGACACCUGAAACACGAAGUUCACGGCAGGGUCAGGCUUUCUGUCAUUGAAAGCCCUCUAGACAGGCCGAGAACCAGAGCUGGUUUUUUAAGGACACCAGUGAGUCUGGAGAUUUUUUUCUUUUGCUUCGGUCUUUUGCAGCUUUCUCUAAUAAGGGUUCUCCUUUUUCACCCAAAUAAUUGCCUUUCCAUCUAAUGGCCCAAAUGGUCAAAUGGCAUCUAAUAGUCUCAUAUGACCGCUGCCUCUCUGGCCUCGCCCUGCUGCUGAGGUCAGCAUGAACUGGAACUUUCCACUUGUCCCUUUCAGUAACCUGAAACUUUCACCGUAGACGUGCUGUAUUGCCCAGAAGCCAUCGUGUCGCUGGUCGGGGUCCUGCAGAGGCUGGCUGCCUGCCGGGAGCACAAGCGGGCUCCUGAGGUCUACGUGGCCUUUACCGUCCGCAACCCAGAGACGUGCCAGCUGUUCACCACCGAGCUAGGUGAACCCCCACGCCCACCCGGGCCUACAUGGUGCCCGAGCUGUCCCUGCAGGACUCCAGUGGAAGUGAAAGAACUGGGCGCUGGGGAAAAGCUAGGAUGCUCCACACUCCCACACUAUGCGGGGAACUCGGGCAGAGGCCGGCCGGGAUGGGAUCAGAUGGGAAGCGGAAGCUCAUCAUGACCAGAAACUGUUUCCCUAUGGAGAGCACUUGGAGAUGGCAAUGCUGAACCUCACACUGUAGGACUCACACAUGACUCCAAAGGGAUUGUGAGAAUCAAGUCACUCUCGUGGGAAGAAUUUUUAUAUGGGAAAGUGGAUAAAACUUUCAUUGGACUGGAAUGUUUGGAGAUUAUUAAACUCCAAAUCAGGAAUCAAAACUGCCCUCUAAUAAGACAUUAGCUGUCUA
This 1419-nucleotide long non-coding RNA is filed under the name Homo sapiens (human). Its description in RNAcentral is "non-protein coding lnc-USP17L2-3:3". Lineage: Eukaryota; Metazoa; Chordata; Mammalia; Primates; Hominidae. The record is from RNAcentral.